CGCGCCGAAAAUGUACCGGGGCUAAACGUAUCACCGAAGCUGUGGAUUGACAUCUUCCGAUGUCAGUGGUAGGAGAGCGUUCUAAGGGCGUUGAAGCGAGACCGCAAGGACUGGUGGAGCGCUUAGAAGUGAGAAUGCCGGUAUGAGUAGCGAAAGAUGGGUGAGAAUCCCAUCCACCGAAUGCCUAAGGUUUCCUGAGGAAGGCUCGUCCGCUCAGGGUUAGUCGGGACCUAAGCCGAGGCUGAAAAGCGUAGGCGAUGGACAACAGGUUGAUAUUCCUGUACCACCUCUUUACCGUUUGAGCAAUGGGGGGACGCAGGAGGAUAGGGUAAGCGCGCUGCUGGAUUAGCGCGUCCAAGCAGUUAGGCCGGUAACGAGGCAAAUCCCGUUACCACACAGGCUGAGCUGUGACGGCGAGGGAAAUUUAGUACCGAAGUUCCUGAUUCCACACUGCCAAGAAAAGCCUCUAGCGAGGGAAAAGGUGCCCGUACCGCAAACCGACACAGGUAGGCGAGGAGAGAAUCCUAAGGUGAGCGAGAGAACUCUCGUUAAGGAACUCGGCAAAAUGACCCCGUAACUUCGGGAGAAGGGGUGCUUUUUAGGGUGAAUAGCCCGGAA
Molecule: ribosomal RNA, 618 nt
Filed under: Bacillus licheniformis
Lineage: Bacteria; Bacillati; Bacillota; Bacilli; Caryophanales; Bacillaceae
Description: bacterial LSU rRNA
Rfam family: Bacterial large subunit ribosomal RNA
Source: RNAcentral